Odocoileus virginianus texanus is the source of this 1079-nucleotide non-coding RNA. The record is from RefSeq and is a predicted model, not a curated record. Lineage: Eukaryota; Metazoa; Chordata; Mammalia; Artiodactyla; Cervidae.
CGGGCGACUUCCUCCUGCUGGCAGGCGGCUCCUCGAACAACGUCAACAGCUUCUGGCAGGCCCUUUGCGCCCCAGAUGGACCGCGGGCCUCAGCGGGGCCCGCGUUCUCCUCCAGUUCAGGUUUCCCUCCUUCUGCCCUUCCCCUAAGUGGAUCCCACUCUGGCUGCCGACUGUGUGAUGGCUGUGGCCACAGACAUACCUGUUCUGUCACAGCUGAUGUGACUCCGCCCACACGAUUUCACGUCUCAACCUUUAUUCAGCAUCUCCGUCUGUGACAUGAGAACCAGAGCAGCUUGUUAGCGGCUUCCCUGAUCCAACUCCUAAUUUACGAAAAAACAAAGUAAAAUAGUACAUGGAGCCACUUGGAUCCAAUCAUCAAAAUCUGCAGUGUGGGCUUCUUCACCAAGUAAACUGCCAGGAAGACAACAGACACGGGGAUUAAAGAUGAAACACUUAAGAGUCAUAAUAACUUCUUUGAAAUCAUCAUGAGGAGGGUGAUGUGAAAGAAGAAGCAUCUUUGAAAUCAAAAGAGAAAACAUGUCAAAGCCAUCCAUAAACUUAAAAGUAAUGGCAAGCAUGUAGUUUUACACACUACUAUGGGUUGAAUUGUGUCGUCCAGAAAGAACUGUUGAUGUGCUAGCCCUGGAUUCCCACGAAUGUCAUCUUAUUCGGAAAUAGGGUCUUUGCAGACGUUAUCAACCUAAGACUAACUUUCUUCUGAGACUCAGACAGAGAGGAAAAUUCCUUGCGAUGACAGAGGCAGAAUUUAUAGCAAUACUUCUACCAGCCAAGGAACACCAGGGGCUAGGAGAGAGGAAUGGGACAGACAACCCUGAAAACCUGCAGCAGAAACCAAACCCGCUGACACCUGGAUUGGGGCCCUUCUAACCUCCAGAGCUGUGAGAAGGCAAUUUUCUGUUGCUUUAAGCCAUCCAGUUCGUGCUAGUGUGUGAGGCCCCCCGGGAAACCAGUGUAGAUACAGAGGUUAACUCAACAACGACAUCAACAAAUGUGCAAUGAUUUAACAAAAACAUUUCUGUGCUGACGAUACCCUUCUUUGACACGUUAUUUUCAGCUGU